This 202-nucleotide ribosomal RNA is filed under the name uncultured bacterium. RNAcentral describes it as "partial 16S ribosomal RNA". It matches the Rfam family "Bacterial small subunit ribosomal RNA", at positions 524 to 721 of the family's 1533-position model. The record is from RNAcentral.
UACGUAGGGUGCGAGCGUUAAUCGGAAUUACUGGGCGUAAAGUGUGCGCAGGCGGCGUCGCAAGUCGAGUGUGAAAGCCCCGGGCUUAACUUGGGGAAUUGCGCUCGAAACUACGAUGCUGGAGUAUGGCAGAGGAAGGUGGAAUUCCACGGUGUAGCGGUGAAAUGCGUAGAGGAUGUGGAGGAACACCGAUGGCGGAAGG